UUACCAUAUUUGUUUGUGUAUAAAAUAUAAGAUAAAUCUAAGAGAAAUGUCUGUUCUUACGGAUAACAAACAUCAUUGAAUUCUCAUUAAUCGGAUUUAUUAACAUAAAUAAAAUUUAUAGAAAAAUAAAUAAAAAUUCCAUAGUUCAACCCGAAGAAGGGCAGAUACAACCGAUUUGACAACCGUUAAUACCGACGAUUUGUGUUUAUAGUAUUCUUUAGAAUUCACAAAUGAUCAGAAUCAAUGCUUUUGAUACUGAAGUGCAAGAAAC
This 271-nucleotide long non-coding RNA is filed under the name Lathyrus oleraceus (garden pea). RNAcentral describes it as "Pisum sativum (pea) long non-coding RNA (PSAT_LNC041630)". Lineage: Eukaryota; Viridiplantae; Streptophyta; Magnoliopsida; Fabales; Fabaceae. The record is from RNAcentral.